Molecule: transfer RNA, 64 nt
Filed under: Geloina coaxans
Lineage: Eukaryota; Metazoa; Mollusca; Bivalvia; Venerida; Cyrenidae
Description: tRNA-Asn
Source: RNAcentral
UAAGUUUUAAUUUAAGUUAAAAUGAUUGAUUGUUAAUCAAGAUAUACUUUGUGGGUAAACUUAG